This 497-nucleotide ribosomal RNA is filed under the name uncultured bacterium. Its description in RNAcentral is "partial 16S ribosomal RNA". It matches the Rfam family "Bacterial small subunit ribosomal RNA", at positions 28 to 507 of the family's 1533-position model. The record is from RNAcentral.
GACGAACGCUGGCGGCGUGCCUAAUACAUGCAAGUUGAGCGCUGAAGGUUGGUACUUGUACCGACUGGAUGAGCAGAGAACGGGUGAGUAACGCGUGGGGCCUCUGCCUUUGAGCGGGGGACAACAUUUGGAAACGAAUGCUAAUACCGCAUAAAAACUUUAAACACAAGUUUUAAGUUUGAAAGAUGCAAUUGCAUCACUCAAAGAUGAUCCCGCGUUGUAUUAGCUAGUUGGUGAGGUAAAGGCUCAUCAAGGCGGUGCUACAGAGUCGACCGGAGCGGGUGGGCGGCCACAUUGGGACGGAGACACGGCCCAAACGCCUACGGGAGGCAGCAGUAGUGAAUCGUCGGCAAGGGACGAAAGUCUGACCGAGCAACGCCGAGGGAGGGAAGAAGGUUGUCGGAUCGUAAAACUCGGUUGGUAGAGAAGAACGUUGGUGAGAGUGGAAAGCACAGCAAGUGACGGUAACUACUCAGAAAGGGACGGCUAACUACGUG